CAGUCGAGGGGCAGCAUGACUGUAGCAAUACAGUUGAUGGCGACCGGCAAACGGGUGCGGAACACGUACGCAAUCUACCCAUAACUGAUGAAUAGCCCUCCGAAAGGAGGAUUAAUACAUCGUAACUUAAUGAAGUGGCAUCACUUUAUUAAUAUAGCUCCGGCGGUUUUGGAUGAGCGUGCGGCUGAUUAGGUAGUUGGUUGAGGUAACGGCUCACCAAGCCUUCGAUCAGUAACUGGUGUGAGAGCACGACCAGUCACACGGGCACUGAGACACGGGCCCGACUCCUACGGGAGGCAGCAGUAAGGAAUAUUGGUCAAUGGACGCAAGUCUGAACCAGCCAUGCCGCGUGAAGGAUGAAGGUCCUCUGGAUUGUAAACUUCUUUUAUAGGGGACGAAAUCUAUUUUUCUAAGUAGUCUGACGGUACCCUAGGAAUAAGCACCGGCUAACUCCGUGCCAGCAGCCGCGGUAAUACGGAGGGUGCAAGCGUUAUCCGGAUUCACUGGGUUUAAAGGGUGCGUAGGAGGGCAGGUAAGUCAGUGGUGAAAUCUCCGAGCUUAACUUGGAAACUGCCAUUGAUACUAUCUGUCUUGAAUAUUGUGGAGGUGAGCGGAAUAUGUCAUGUAGCGGUGAAAUGCUUAGAUAUGACAUAGAACACCAAUUGCGAAGGCAGCUCGCUACACAUAUAUUGACUCUGAGGCACGAAAGCGUGGGGAUCAAACAGGAUUAGAUACCCUGGUAGUCCACGCCCUAAACUAUGGAUACUCGACAUACGCGAUAAACUGUGUGUGUCUGAGCGAAAGCAUUAAGUAUCCCACCUGGGAAGUACGACCGCAAGGUUGAAACUCAAAGGAAUUGGCGGGGGUCCGCACAAGCGGUGGAGCAUGUGGUUUAAUUCGAUGAUA
RNAcentral lists this ribosomal RNA (906 nucleotides) under uncultured Sphingobacteriia bacterium. RNAcentral's name for it is "bacterial SSU rRNA". It matches the Rfam family "Bacterial small subunit ribosomal RNA", at positions 59 to 959 of the family's 1533-position model. The record is from RNAcentral. Lineage: Bacteria; Pseudomonadati; Bacteroidota; Sphingobacteriia.